This is a non-coding RNA of Spodoptera litura, 709 nucleotides long. The record is from RefSeq and is a predicted model, not a curated record. NCBI's taxonomy places the organism in Eukaryota, Metazoa, Arthropoda, Insecta, Lepidoptera, Noctuidae.
UCGUUUUUUGUUAGAUAAAAAAUGUAGUUAGUAGGAGAAUUAGUUAAAUGUAUAGUUGAAAUGUUUGUCGCAUCCAUUUUAGAGUCCAUUUCAGACAUCAUCGUCCGCAACAGGCUAAUGCGUCCGCAGAUUUUGUAGCGUCCUUGUCAUUAGCGAUGUACUUGAAACGAUUAUAUGUCCGACCCGAAUGAUUGCCUCGUUAAUUUCCUAACUUGCGUGUCACUAAGUUUUUUCGCGUCUGCUAAAUCUUGCAAUUAUUUAAUGUUAGAGGUGACAGGAGACAGGAAGUCAAUGAUUUGUUCGCAUUAACAACGAACCAAGUAUCACCAUGGACAAUUGUUAAGAUUGUAAAUGAUGUAACGAUCAAGAACUGUUUCGAUAAACAAUCGUUUCUAUGAGAUGUGGGCUUACGCAAGUUUGACGUAAUUGACGGACGCGGCAUGAGUGCGGUGUGACGUAGAGAGUCGCGGGCGCCACUGCCGAUAACCACCCACUCUCAUUUUCGCGCUGACGUCGCCCGUGAUAACUUGAUGAUUCGCGUUUUGUGCACUUAACUAGAUUAGUGCUAUAGUGUGUGGAUCAACGGACAUUGCACCUGCCUCUCGUACGACGCCUACGUAUGUACCUAUUCUGAUGACUUCGAUUCGUCAUUGAGUUGACGUAAGAAACCGGAGAUCCUGUAUCUAUGAUGCUGACAUGUAACUAUGAG